Molecule: ribosomal RNA, 484 nt
Filed under: uncultured bacterium
Lineage: Bacteria
Description: partial 16S ribosomal RNA
Rfam family: Bacterial small subunit ribosomal RNA
Source: RNAcentral
AUUGAACGCUGGCGGCAUGCCUUACACAUGCAAGUCGAACGGCAGCGCGGGAGCAAUCCUGGCGGCGAGUGGCGAACGGGUGAGUAAUACAUCGGAACGUGCCCAAUCGUGGGGGAUACCGCAGCGAAAGCUGUGCUAAUACCGCAUACGAUCUACGGAUGAAAGCAGGGGAUCGCAAGACCUUGCGCGAAUGGAGCGGCCGAUGGCAGAUUAGGUAGUUGGUGAGGUAAAGGCUCACCAAGCCUUCGAUCUGUAGCUGGUCUGAGAGGACGACCAGCCACACUGGGACUGAGACACGGCCCAGACUCCUACGGGAGGCAGCAGUGGGGAAUUUUGGACAAUGGGCGAAAGCCUGAUCCAGCCAUGCCGCGUGCAGGAUGAAGGCCUUCGGGUUGUAAACUGCUUUUGUACGGAACGAAACGGUCUUUUCUAAUAAAGAAGGCUAAUGACGGUACCGUAAGAAUAAGCACCGGCUAACUACGUG